CUAACUACUAUUGAUUCGAUACCGGAUGUUGGAAUUCUGCAACGGAAGUGCUGGAUAGAAUUUUUAUUAUAAAUUCGUCUUUUCAGCAAAAGCUGAUACAAUCAUAAAAGAUAGAAAACAACCAAACAAAAAAUAUGGAGUAAAAUAAGAUUCAUUAAAUAAAAGAAUAUUAUAUCUGACUUUUUUUCUGCAAUAGAGUAACUACAAUCUAAGCCCUCUUUUUGAAUCUCUUAUACCCUUCUCUCCUCUUCUAUAAACCCAUAGGAAGACAACUCUUUCUUUUUCUCUCUCACAUGCAUCCGUGCACUAGGCGCAUACAA
Molecule: long non-coding RNA, 320 nt
Filed under: Ananas comosus (pineapple)
Lineage: Eukaryota; Viridiplantae; Streptophyta; Magnoliopsida; Poales; Bromeliaceae
Description: long non-coding RNA (ACOM_LNC033702)
Source: RNAcentral